RNAcentral lists this transfer RNA (72 nucleotides) under Candidatus Pacearchaeota archaeon. Its description in RNAcentral is "tRNA-Arg". It matches the Rfam family "tRNA". From Rfam's summary of the family: Transfer RNA (tRNA) molecules are approximately 80 nucleotides in length. Lineage: Archaea; Nanobdellati. The record is from RNAcentral. RNAcentral also lists the same sequence under 1 other name.
GCCCCCAUAGUUCAAUGGAUAGAACAUUAGCCUUCUAAGCUGAUGAUGCAGGUUCGAUUCCUGCUGGGGGUA